Long non-coding RNA from Folsomia candida, 663 nucleotides. RefSeq lists it as uncharacterized. The record is from RefSeq and is a predicted model, not a curated record. The transcript has 2 exons. NCBI's taxonomy places the organism in Eukaryota, Metazoa, Arthropoda, Collembola, Entomobryomorpha, Isotomidae.
CACAUUUCUAAACUUGUUGAAUGAGCAAGAGUUUGACUAUUCAAAAAAUGUAUAAGCUCAUAGUUUUUGUAACCAUUUUAAACUGCAUAUUUUGCAUGGGAAAUGGGGAGUGUAUCUGUCCGAAUCGAAAUCUUGCCAAACCAUUCCUCAUGUGUGGCCAUGAAAUUAAGAAGUUUUACCCUCACACGUCUUGCGGAAUGCAGGUCGUUUAUGAGUGCGAGGAAAAUAGGACUAAUCUUGACCACAAAUGCGAAACCAGAGAAGCUUUCUGUGGAGUAGACCCUUACGAUUAUUGCGCGUCAUAUGGCAAAGAUUCACCAAAUUGUAUCAGGCAUAAAAGAGUCCGAGCAUGUUUUAACUUUGGUAAUAAAAGAGAAACUUAUAACAAGUUCAUGCAGCAAAUGAAAUCUUCUGAUUUCUACUGAAUCGCAAAAAAUUUGUUUACUGUGUUCAAACCUGUGUAAUAUCGCUGAUGAUCUGACAGUGGAACAUGACAGAAAAAUGGUAAUUGUUGUAACAAAAUAAAAAUCGAAAGUACUAAAUUUGAAAGUAGUAUUAGUUAAUCGUCAAAUGUCAACCCUUAAUUAAAUUAUGAUCAAUGUCAAAUUGCACAAACAAUUAAGUUAUUACUCUGCUGUAAAUAAACUAAAUCUAGGCCCACAA